CGAGUGAUUUUGGACGCGUGAGAAUGAAUUCCGAAGAUAAAUAAAUGUUUCGGCGCAAAUUGAGCGCGAAACGAAAAUGGAAAAAAAGGAGUUUUCGGAUCAUAGCGUUGAUCCAAGUGCUAAUUCGGCUCAAAUGAUGUCAAAAUGAAAAGGAAUUGCUUCCAAAUUAAACUGGUAGCUUGUGAAAGUCCCUUGGCAUGUUUUGGAAGUGUUCGUGUUGAAAUCGGAGCGAAAACGGAAGAACUGAAAUUUUCUGUAAAGAACGGGACCGAAAAAUUAGCAGAAAAUGCACAGUGUCAGAAAAUUAUGAAAAUUGGCGGAGAUGUUAGGAAUAUUUGUAUGAGGCUAGAUUUAAAGUUUCAGAUUAUUCUGACACCCGUAGAGAGAGAAAUUUGAUCCGAAAGCUAUCGGAUAAAGAUUGCAGUUCGGUACAGUUCGCAGUGACCAAACGGGGUCGAAACUGAAAUGUUAAAAUUUCAGUGGACUUGUUAAGUAAAACCGAACAUGCCUGUCAAAUUUGAGCUCAAAUGGACUUUUAGAAGAGCCUGCGAAAGGUAUCUAAUCCGUGCGACUAAACAGAAUUAAAUCGAGGGGCAAUUUGGUAAUUACAU
RNAcentral lists this long non-coding RNA (611 nucleotides) under Ananas comosus (pineapple). RNAcentral's name for it is "long non-coding RNA (ACOM_LNC036438)". The record is from RNAcentral. Lineage: Eukaryota; Viridiplantae; Streptophyta; Magnoliopsida; Poales; Bromeliaceae.